Haplochromis burtoni (Burton's mouthbrooder) is the source of this 821-nucleotide long non-coding RNA. RefSeq lists it as uncharacterized. The record is from RefSeq and is a predicted model, not a curated record. The transcript has 4 exons. Lineage: Eukaryota; Metazoa; Chordata; Actinopteri; Cichliformes; Cichlidae.
GGCAGUCAAACAGAUUUAUGCUAACAUAAGUACACAUUUGGCAUCUAGCAGCGUGCGAGGUUAGCUUUCGGGUGACACUGAAACAUCACCCGGCCAGGCUUAAGUUUAACCUGACAGUUUGCUGCUGUGUUUACUUGGUUGCCAUGGAUGCAGGGAGACUGGCAGACACUGGUUUGCCCCAGCUGCUCUCAGUGGUUUCUAAAGAAUCUACAUUAAGGACCAGUUGUUGUCCUCGGAUGCCAGCAGGUACUCUGAUGGCACAGUUGUACCACGGGAAAACACAAGAUUUAUUAGCUCACCUGGAUCAUCAAGUGUGAGUUGCACUUAAGCCACUAAGCAGGUGUCUUUGCUUCUUUCAGCUGUUAGCACCUGCAGACACAGCUCCUCCCCCCACUAGCAGCUGAACAUGUGAAUAGUAGAACAACAACUUGGCAAAACAUCUUAAAGACUGACACCCUGGAAGAAUUUUGUGAGAAGUCAUCUUCAGACACCGGGUGACAUCUGACCUGGAAGCACCUCCGCACGGGAGUCGCCACGCCGGCAACUGAUGCGGUGCUCAGCUCUUCCCAAUUAUCCGCCAUCUUAAGAGGGCUACUUAACUGCAGAGUCAGGCGACACUCUGCGUGGGAAUAUUAACCAAGCCUGGAUUAAGGACGGAGAGGAGAUUGCUGGGAAGGAAGUCUCGAGCACAGAUUCACUUUGGAGGAAGACACGGACGCACUAUCACACACGUUUGGGACACGGGGAGGAACACACGGAGGACGGCUUGCACAUUGAACUGUUAUUUUAAUCCUUUUUCACUGUAAAUAAACAUGCUGUCU